Cannabis sativa is the source of this 90-nucleotide small nucleolar RNA. RefSeq annotates it as small nucleolar RNA R44/J54/Z268 family. NCBI's taxonomy places the organism in Eukaryota, Viridiplantae, Streptophyta, Magnoliopsida, Rosales, Cannabaceae. The transcript has a single exon. The record is from RefSeq and is a predicted model, not a curated record.
UAUGCAAGUGAUGAUAAAAAUAGACAGGGACAUCAGAACUUCCUUAAAGAAGUGUUGAUGAUUUGUCGUUGGGAAUCUCUCUGAUGCAUU